UACGUAGGUGGCAAGCGUUGUCCGGAAUUACUGGGUGUAAAGGGAGCGUAGGCGGGAAUCCAAGUUGGGUGUGAAAUGUCCGGGCUUAACCCGGGAGCUGCAUCCAAAACUGGAUUUCUUGAGUGAUGUAGAGGCAGGCGGAAUUCCUAGUGUAGCGGUGAAAUGCGUAGAUAUUAGGAGGAACACCAGUGGCGAAGGCGGCCUGCUGGGCAUUAACUGACGCUGAGGCUCGAAAGCGUGGGGAGCAAACAGG
This 253-nucleotide ribosomal RNA is filed under the name uncultured bacterium. RNAcentral describes it as "partial 16S ribosomal RNA". It matches the Rfam family "Bacterial small subunit ribosomal RNA", at positions 524 to 776 of the family's 1533-position model. The record is from RNAcentral.